UACAGAGGGUGCAAGCGUUGUUCGGAAUUAUUGGGCGUAAAGGGCAGGUAGGUGGUCUUAAAAGUCUACUGUGAAAUCCCUGGGCUUAACCCAGGAAGUGCGGUGGAUACUCUAGGACUUGAGUGUCGGAGGGGUGCGUGGAAUUCUCAGUGUAGCGGUGAAAUGCGUAGAUAUUGAGAGGAACACCAGAGGCGAAAGCGGCGCACUGGACGACAACUGACACUAAACUGCGAAAGCGUGGGGAGCAAAC
This 250-nucleotide ribosomal RNA is filed under the name uncultured bacterium. RNAcentral's name for it is "partial 16S ribosomal RNA". It matches the Rfam family "Bacterial small subunit ribosomal RNA", at positions 524 to 773 of the family's 1533-position model. The record is from RNAcentral.